AACUUUCGGCAACGGAUCUCUUGGCUCUCGCAUCGAUGAAGAACGCAGCGAAUUGCGAAAUGUAAUGUUGUUUGCAUAACGUCCAACAUCAAGUUUUUGAACGCAUCUUGCACUCUUGUUUUACAAGAGUAUGCCUGUUUGAGAGGAUAAACACCCCAUCCAAUCCCAAAUAUUUUUAAUAACCAAAGAUUGGGAAGUUGAGCAAUCUUGUAGUAAAAUGUGAGUUGCUUUAAUAGUAGUUGGUAGGUUUAUGUAGAAAUGGUCAUUUUCCAUAUUACUUUAUAGUCCAGUAAUGGGUUCUAGUAAUAUCUUGGGUUUGAUAUUCUAAACAUUUCAUACAAAUGCUAUAGCCAAACGCAAGGAAGUUUAUACCAUAUAUUCCUCAAAUCAGGUAGGACUACCCGCUGAAUUUAAGCAUAUCAAUAAGCGGAGGCU
This 435-nucleotide unclassified non-coding RNA is filed under the name uncultured Basidiomycota. RNAcentral describes it as "sequence contains ITS2". The stretch from base 1 to 148 matches the Rfam family "5.8S ribosomal RNA". Lineage: Eukaryota; Fungi; Basidiomycota. The record is from RNAcentral.